GCCCAUAGGUUGGGUCGUGACACAUAUAAUUUUAAUUUUAUGUAUAUUAAUUAUCUUUGAGUCUGUUUAUAUGAGAUGGAGAAAGGGUAAGUAAUGAAAGAUUAAAAAAAUUGCUAAAGAGGAAAAGGAUAAAAGGGAUUAUAAUAAAAAAAAUUGUUUGGAAAGGGUUAAAUUAAUGGAAAGUAAAAAUAUGUGAUAUAUAUUUCUAUGUUUAAGAAGAGGUAGAAGAAAGGUAAACUUAAAAAGUGUAAAAAUAAAAGUAGUCAUAACUCUCACAUCCUAUUCUUAUAUCAUAAUUUGAGAUAUAAGAAAAAUUAUAAUUUGAGAGAUAAGGGAGAUUAAGGGUUACCACUACCCACUUAACCAUCUUUAUUUUUAUUUACCA
Molecule: unclassified non-coding RNA, 385 nt
Filed under: Hevea brasiliensis (rubber tree)
Lineage: Eukaryota; Viridiplantae; Streptophyta; Magnoliopsida; Malpighiales; Euphorbiaceae
Source: RNAcentral